GCGGUAAUACGGAGGGGGCUAGCGUUAUUCGGAAUUACUGGGCGUAAAGCGCGUGUAGGUGGCCUGAAAAGUCAGGGGUGAAAUCCCAGAGCUUAACUCUGGAAUUGCCUCUGAAACUGUCAGGCUUGCAUCUGUCAGAGGGUGGUGGAAUUCCUAGUGUAGAGGUGAAAUUCGUAGAUAUUAGGAGGAACACCAGUGGCGAAGGCGACCACCUGGGGCAGUAUGGACACUGAGACGCGAAAGCGUGGGGAGCAAACAGGAUUAGAUACCCUGGUAGUCCACGCCGUAAACGAUGAGUGCUAGCCGUUGGGCCUUAAGGCUCAGUGGUACAGCCAACGCGUUAAGCACUCCGCCUGGGGAGUACGGCCGCAAGGUUAAAACUCAAAGGAAUUGACGGGGACCCGCACAAGCGGUGGAGCAUGUGGUUUAAUUCGAUGCAACGCGAAAAACCUUACCACCUUUUGACAUCCCGAUCGCGGAGACC
Molecule: ribosomal RNA, 484 nt
Filed under: uncultured bacterium
Lineage: Bacteria
Description: bacterial SSU rRNA
Rfam family: Bacterial small subunit ribosomal RNA
Source: RNAcentral